AUUGAACGCUGGCGGCAUGCCUCACACAUGCAAGUCGAACGGCAGCGGACCUUCGGGUGCCGGCGAGUGGCGAACGGGUGAGUAAUAUAUCGGAACGUACCUUUCAGUGGGGGAUAACGUAGCGAAAGUUACGCUAAUACCGCAUAUUCUGUGAGCAGGAAAGCAGGGGAUCGCAAGACCUUGCGCUGAUUGAGCGGCCGAUAUCAGAUUAGCUAGUUGGUGAGGUAAAGGCUCACCAAGGCGACGAUCUGUAGCGGGUCUGAGAGGAUGAUCCGCCACACUGGAACUGAGACACGGUCCAGACUCCUACGGGAGGCAGCAGUGGGGAAUUUUGGACAAUGGGCGCAAGCCUGAUCCAGCCAUGCCGCGUGAGUGAAGAAGGCCUUCGG
RNAcentral lists this ribosomal RNA (389 nucleotides) under uncultured bacterium. RNAcentral's name for it is "bacterial SSU rRNA". It matches the Rfam family "Bacterial small subunit ribosomal RNA", at positions 30 to 421 of the family's 1533-position model. The record is from RNAcentral.